GGUGGGGCUGAUGACUGGGGUGAAGUCGUAACAAGGUAGCCGUACCGGAAGGUGCGGCUGGAUCACCUCCUAACAGGGAGACAAACAACGAUUUUGAUGUCUGAGUUUUUUUAUUCUUAGGCCAAAAUCCUGUCACCUUAGGUCGAUCGGUACCUCAACUUUGAAGCUAAGAGUAUUCAGCAAUGAAUAUCUGCUUAGUGGAGAUUUUUAGUUCCUAAACUUUGUCUAGUUCACAACCCAUUAGGGAUGAGACUCCUGGGCCAUUAGCUCAGGUGGUUAGAGCGCACCCCUGAUAAGGGUGAGGUCCCUGGUUCAAGUCCAGGAUGGCCCAUUCGGUGUAGGGGGUUUAGCUCAGUUGGUAGAGCGCCUGCUUUGCAAGCAGGAUGUCAGGAGUUCGAGUCUCCUAACCUCCACUGACUACCAAAAUCCCCAUCUCCAAAACCUGGAGUAUGAACUCGUAUGGAUUGUGAUUUAGAUGUGUCCGCUAGAUGACCCUAGCUUCUUGUCAUUUUAAGGCAUGGAAAUAGUUCCAUGAUAUUUAAUUGAUAGGAUGCUGGGCUCGAUUCAAUGUAUUGAGAGAUCAAUGCAUUGUUUUGAUGUCUGGUCGAACCUUGACAACUGCAUAGUAAGUCUGGAAAGAAUAAAGCAUCUUUAUGGAUGCAUCAUUCUUGAGUGUUAAUUCACGAUGGGAUGGUGUUAAUUCUAAAGCAAGAGCCGAGACUCCAGCAUGUUCUUUCAAAUGUGUCGAGCAUUUGAGAGUUUGAUUUUAAUUUCUAUUUUUAGAAGUUAGAAGAAUCUGUUUCAACGACAGCAAGCGUGUUGGAGAUACAUUGGUCAAGCUACAAAGGGCUCACGGC
Molecule: unclassified non-coding RNA, 857 nt
Filed under: uncultured Synechococcus sp.
Lineage: Bacteria; Bacillati; Cyanobacteriota; Cyanophyceae; Synechococcales; Synechococcaceae
Description: partial may contain 16S ribosomal RNA, 16S-23S ribosomal RNA intergenic spacer, and 23S ribosomal RNA
Rfam family: tRNA (bases 341-413)
Source: RNAcentral